CCCCUAGUAACUGCGAGUGAAGCGGGAAAAGCUCAAAUUUAAAAUCUGACGGUCUUUGGCCGUCCGAGUUGUAAUCUAGAGAAGUGUUACCCGUGCUGGACCGUGUACAAGUCUCCUGGAAUGGAGCGUCAUAGAGGGUGAGAAUCCCGUCUCUGACACGGACUACCAGGGCUUUGUGGUAUGCUCUCAAAGAGUCGAGUUGUUUGGGAAUGCAGCUCAAAAUGGGUGGUAAAUUCCAUCUAAAGCUAAAUAUUGGCGAGAGACCGAUAGCGAACAAGUACCGUGAGGGAAAGAUGAAAAGAACUUUGGAAAGAGAGUUAAACAGUACGUGAAAUUGCUGAAAGGGAAACGCUUGAAGUCAGUCGCGUUGGCCGGGGAUCAGCCUUGCUCUUUUGCUUGGUGUACUUUCCGGUUGACGGGUCAGCAUCAAUUUUGACCGCUGGAAAAAGGCAUCGGGAAUGUGGCAGCUCCGGCUGUGUUAUAGCCCUUUGUCACAUACAGCGGUUGGGAUUGAGGUACUCAGCACGCCGCAAGGCCGGGUUUCGACCACGUUCGUGCUUAGGAUGCUGGCAUAAUGGCUUUAAGCGACCCGUCUUGAAACACGGACCAAGGAGUCUAACAUGCCUGCGAGUGUUUGGGUGGAAAACCCGAGCGCGUAAUGAAAGUGAAAGUUGAGAUCCCUGUCGUGGGGAGCAUCGACGCCCGGACCAGAACUUUUGGGACGGAUCCGCGGUAGAGCAUGUAUGUUGGGACCCGAAAGAUGGUGAACUAUGCCUGAAUAGGGUGAAGCCAGAGGAAACUCUGGUGGAGGCUCGUAGCGAUUCUGACGUGCAAAUCGAUCGUCAAAUUUGGGUAUAGGGGCGAA
This 865-nucleotide ribosomal RNA is filed under the name Lepiota sp. Its description in RNAcentral is "LSU rRNA". It matches the Rfam family "Eukaryotic large subunit ribosomal RNA", at positions 77 to 927 of the family's 3401-position model. Lineage: Eukaryota; Fungi; Basidiomycota; Agaricomycetes; Agaricales; Agaricaceae. The record is from RNAcentral.